UACGGAGGGAGCUAGCGUUGUUCGGAAUUACUGGGCGUAAAGCGCACGUAGGCGGCUUUCUAAGUCGGGGGUGAAAUCCUGGAGCUCAACUCCAGAACUGCCUUCGAUACUGGAGAGCUUGAGUCCGGGAGAGGUGAGUGGAACUGCGAGUGUAGAGGUGAAAUUCGUAGAUAUUCGCAAGAACACCAGUGGCGAAAGGCGGCUCACUGGCCCGGUACUGACGCUGAGGUGCGAAAGCGUGGGGAGCAAACAGG
Molecule: ribosomal RNA, 254 nt
Filed under: uncultured bacterium
Lineage: Bacteria
Description: partial 16S ribosomal RNA
Rfam family: Bacterial small subunit ribosomal RNA
Source: RNAcentral